This 433-nucleotide ribosomal RNA is filed under the name uncultured bacterium. RNAcentral describes it as "bacterial SSU rRNA". It matches the Rfam family "Bacterial small subunit ribosomal RNA", at positions 28 to 507 of the family's 1533-position model. The record is from RNAcentral.
GAUGAACGCUGGCGGCGUGCUUAACACAUGCAAGUCGAACGAACCUUCGGGUUAGUGGCGGACGGGUGAGUAACGCGUGAGAAUCUGCCCUCAGGAGGGGGACAACAGCUGGAAACGGCUGCUAAUACCCCAUAUGCCGCGAGGUGAAAUGAAUUUCGCCUGAGGAUGAGCUCGCGUCUGAUUAGCUAGUUGGUGUAGGUAAUGGCUCACCAAGGCAUCGAUCAGUAGCUGGUCUGAGAGGAUGAUCAGCCACACUGGGACUGAGACACGGCCCAGACUCCUACGGGAGGCAGCAGUGGGGAAUUUUCCGCAAUGGGCGAAAGCCUGACGGAGCAACGCCGCGUGAGGGAUGAAGGCCUCUGGGCUGUAAACCUCUUUUAUCAAGGAAGAAGAUCUGACGGUACUUGAAGGAUAAGCCACGGCUAAUUCCGUG